Molecule: long non-coding RNA, 642 nt
Organism: Herpailurus yagouaroundi (jaguarundi)
Lineage: Eukaryota; Metazoa; Chordata; Mammalia; Carnivora; Felidae
Exons: 6
Source: RefSeq, a predicted model, not a curated record
AGGAAAGCAUUGGAAGAGAGGAUAACUGUAGUCAAGGAAAGUCAAAGAGUGCUAUAAAUGAGGUAGGAAUUCAAGAGGCCAGAUGAAGAGCAGUCAGUAGGGCUGGCACGGACAGUCUGAAAAUCCUUCUCUUGAGUAACCAAACACACAGCUAUCGUUUAUUUGAGCAACAGUGAAGUCUAUGCUGCAAGUGAACCUGGGUAACCCGAGGCACAGGGCCAAACAUCUGGUAACAAUAAGAUCAACACAACGGUAGAAGAAGAUCAAGAAUCCUGUAACCAUAAGAACCUCGGGCAGUCUUCAGUACUGAUGCGUGCCAAGAUAUAUUUGGGCAAGAGAAUAUGGAUGGAAUGUUCAUCUCUUCACCAGAGGGUGACAUGAAUGCCAGUGAGUCAGGUUUUGUCAGAAGACAGUAUCGAGUUGCAAAUAAGAAGAUUAUCUGCAGAGUAUCUUGUACCUUGAAGUUACUUGGAGGUGAGUCUAAAUUUUGUAUGGUGACACAUGAACCAUAAGCAAGAGAUCAUAUUCAGAAUAGUUCCUUUGGGAGACUGAAGGUUUAUUCUAAUAAUACUGUGAUUGCUCAACAUCUCUUAGGAACUUCCUUUAAAAACUUUGAAAAAUAAUUCUCUUUGUAGGUGAAUA